Molecule: ribosomal RNA, 503 nt
Filed under: uncultured bacterium
Lineage: Bacteria
Description: bacterial SSU rRNA
Rfam family: Bacterial small subunit ribosomal RNA
Source: RNAcentral
CAACGCUGGCGGCGUGCCUAACACAUGCAAGUCGCACGAGAAAGCGGGGGCAACUCCGUGAGUACAGUGGCGUACGGGUGAGUAACACGUGACUAACCUACCCUCGAAUGGGGAAUAACCUCGGGAAACCGGGGCUAAUACCGCAUAAUACCGGCGGGUGCAAUUCCUGCCGGUCAAACGAGCAAUCGGUUGGAGGAGGGGGUCGCGGCUGAUUAGCUAGUUGGUAAGGUAACGGCUUACCAAGGCGACGAUCAGUAGCCGGCCUGAGAGGGCGCACGGCCACACUGGAACUGAAACACGGUCCAGACUCCUACGGGAGGCAGCAGUGGGGAAUUUUGCGCAAUGGGGGAAACCCUGACGCAGCAACGCCGCGUGGAGGAUGAAGUCCCUUGGGACGUAAACUCCUUUCGACCGGGACGAUAAUGACGGUACCGGUGGAAGAAGCCCCGGCUAACUCCGUGCCAGCAGCCGCGGUAAUACGGGGGGAGCAAGCGUUGUUCGGA